RNAcentral lists this ribosomal RNA (1417 nucleotides) under metagenome. RNAcentral's name for it is "bacterial SSU rRNA". It matches the Rfam family "Archaeal small subunit ribosomal RNA". The record is from RNAcentral.
GUUGAUCCUGCGGGAGGUUGCUGCUAUUAGGGUUCGACUAAGCCAUGCAAGUUUGCUCGCAAGAGCGGCAAAAUGCUCAGUAACACGUCGAUAACUUGCCUUUAGGUUGGGGAUAACCUCGGGAAACUGAGGGUAAUACCCGAUAGGAGAUUUGGGCAAAUGCUAUUUCUCUAAAAACUUCGGUGCCUAAAGAUAGGUCGGCGGUUGAUUAGGUUGUUGGCGGGGUAAUGGCCCACCAAGCCUUUGAUCAAUAGGGGCCUAGAGAGAGGUACCCCCGAGAAGGACACUGAGAUACUGGUCCUAGCCCCACGGGGUGCAGCAGGCGCGAAACCUUUACAAUGCACGAAAGUGUGAUAAGGGAACCCUAAGUGCUUUACUUAGUAAGGCUUUUGUUAAGAAUAAAUACCUUGACGAAUAAGUGGUGGGCAAGACUGGUGCCAGCAACCGCGGUAAUACCAGCGCCACAAGUGGCAGCCACAAUUAUUGGGCCUAAAGCGUUCGUAGCCGGUCCGAAAAAUCUUUUGUGAAAUUGUUGUGCUUAAAACAACAGCGUGCAGAGGACACUAUCGGGCUUGGAACCGGGAGGAGUCAGAAGUAUUCUUGGGGUAGCGGUAAAAUGUUAUAAUCCCAGGAGGACUACCAGUAACGAAGGUGUCUGACUAGAACGGAUUCGACGGUGAGGAACGAAAGCCAGGGGAGCAAAACGGAUUAGAUACCCGAGUAGUCCUGGCCGUAAACGUUGCGAGCUAGGUGUUACAUAUUCCUCGUGAAUAUGUAGUGUCGAAGCGAAGGCGUUGAGCUCGCCGCCCGGGAAGUAUAGUCGCAAGACCGAAACUUAAAGGAAUUGGCGGGGGAGCACCACAAGGGGUGCGGCGUGCGGUUUAAUCUAAUUCAACGCAGAGAAUCUCACCAGAAGCGACGGUAGAAAGAAGAUCAGUCUAAAGGGCUUAUCUGACGAGCCGAGAGGUAUUGCAUGGCAGUCGUCAGCUCGUGCCGUGAGGUGUCCUCUUAAGUGAGGCAACGAGCGAGACCUGUACUCACAAUUGCUAACGAACUAUGUGAUCGAGGACAUUGUGAGGACUGCUCCGGAAACGGAGAGGAAGGUGCAGGCUACGAUAGGUCUGUAUGCUCCGAAUCUUCUGGGCUACACGCGCGCAACAAUGGUAAGGACAAUGGGCUGCGACUCCGAAAGGAGAAGCUAAUCCUCGAAACCUUAUCCAAGUACAGAUUGAGGGUUGUAACUCACCCUCAUGACGAUGGAAUCCCUAGUAAUCGGGCCUCAUCACAGCCCGGUGAAUAUGUCCCUGCUCCUUGCACACACCGCCCGUCAAACCACUCGAGCAGAUUUUAGAUGAGCAUUUGCCUAUAGCAGAUUCGAAUCUAAGAUCAGUGAGAUGGGUUAAGUCGUCACAAGGUA